UGUGGGAGCGAGCCUGCUCGCGAUAGCAGUGGGUCAGCUUGCAGAUUUAUUAACCGGUCCACCGCUAUCGCGAGCAGGCUCGCUCCCACA
RNAcentral lists this unclassified non-coding RNA (90 nucleotides) under Pseudomonas kilonensis. Lineage: Bacteria; Pseudomonadati; Pseudomonadota; Gammaproteobacteria; Pseudomonadales; Pseudomonadaceae. The record is from RNAcentral.